GGGCAUAUUUGGAAGGUGGAAAAAAAUGAAAUUUCGUUUCGCGGUUUCUUUCAUUCGCACCCAUUCGCUCUUCACUCUCGUAUCACUCUUUCUCAUUCUCUCAUCGCCAAUCUCUCUCUCUUGUUUCUCGUAUCUCUCUCUCGUUCUCUCAUUGCCAUUAUCUCUCUCGCGUUCUCUGAGUUCUUUGUCUCUCUCAUUUGCCUGAGCAUUGUUGUGGGUCUCUCGCGUUGUUUUUCAAGGUUUUCCUUGACCUCUUGCAUUGACGCUUUUCCUUGAACUCUUUCUCAUGUUCCCC
RNAcentral lists this long non-coding RNA (295 nucleotides) under Vigna radiata. Its description in RNAcentral is "long non-coding RNA (VRAD_LNC018237)". The record is from RNAcentral. Lineage: Eukaryota; Viridiplantae; Streptophyta; Magnoliopsida; Fabales; Fabaceae.